CAAAGAAUAGACCUAAUAAACUUUAUUAACACGUCCAGGAAUUGAACCCAAUACCCUAGAGGAAUGCAUAUGCAGCUGCUGCUUGUUUUGUCUCCAAGGGUAUAGCACUGGCCACCAUUGAGGCAAGGGUUUAAAACACACUAGAAGAAAGAUCCAUUCUUCUUCUUCACCUUGUACUCUGCAGCACGAUCCUUGUAGAGCAGCUCACAAACCUUAGACGAGAGAUAGUAGUUGAACAUGUAGCACAUGUCUGGUACAGCCAGGUGACAUUCCAUCUCACAUUCUCUCUCAUUCUUGGCUGUAAUAGAUGACAUGAUUGGGCCAACAAUGGUGUGGUUUACUAUGGUCUCACUAUAUGCUACUGAGGUGAUGUUUGGACUUAUUUGGCAAAAAGCAGCUGUUGAAAAUGCAUUUUUAAAUUAGUUCAGCCCAAACACUUACUAGGCUAUGCCACAGUGAGAGAGAAUGCAUAAUUGAUUAACGCUAAUUCAGGUAAGAAAACAAUUUCUCUGAACUUAGAGGAGGCAUUUUGUUAUUUACAAAACUAUUCCUAUUCCUCUUCUAUUGCUAUCCCCAAACGAGGAAUGAUAUCGUUCAAAUUUAAACAUGUUCUGCCCUAGGAAAUCGAAUGGGUUCGAGUGCAGUUUGAAAAAAAAAACAAAAAAAAACGAGUGCAGUUCAAAAUCAAAUGUGAAAAUCUUGAUUUUAAAUUGCACUAGUGAUAUCAACGUUUUUAAUUUCAAAACUGAAAUCGUAAAGCAUACUCACAGCACGAGCACUUU
Actinia tenebrosa (Australian red waratah sea anemone) is the source of this 782-nucleotide long non-coding RNA. The record is from RefSeq and is a predicted model, not a curated record. NCBI's taxonomy places the organism in Eukaryota, Metazoa, Cnidaria, Anthozoa, Actiniaria, Actiniidae.